RNAcentral lists this ribosomal RNA (639 nucleotides) under uncultured Actinomycetes bacterium. RNAcentral describes it as "bacterial SSU rRNA". It matches the Rfam family "Bacterial small subunit ribosomal RNA", at positions 232 to 885 of the family's 1533-position model. The record is from RNAcentral. Lineage: Bacteria; Bacillati; Actinomycetota; Actinomycetes.
CGCGGCCUAUCAGCUUGUUGGUGAGGUAACGGCUCACCAAGGCAUCGACGGGUAGCUGGUCUGAGAGGACGAUCAGCCACACUGGGACUGAGACACGGCCCAGACUCCUACGGGAGGCAGCAGUAGGGAACCUUGCGCAAUGGGCGAAAGCCUGACGCAGCAACGCCGCGUGGGGGAUGAAUGCCUUCGGGUUGUAAACCCCUUUCAGCAGGGACGAAAAUGACGGUACCUGCAGAAGAAGCUCCGGCCAACUACGUGCCAGCCGCCGCGGUAAUACGUAGGGAGCGAGCGUUGUCCGGAAUUAUUGGGCGUAAAGAGCCCGUAGGCGGUUCAGUAAGUCGGGUGUGAAAACUCAAGGCUCAACCUUGGGACGCCACUCGAUACUGCUGUGACUUGAGUCCGGUAGAGGAGUGUGGAAUUCCUGGUGUAGCGGUGAAAUGCGCAGAUAUCAGGAGGAACACCAGCGGCGAAGGCGGCACUCUGGGCCGGUACUGACGCUGAGGAGCGAAAGCAUGGGGAGCAAACAGGAUUAGAUACCCUGGUAGUCCAUGCCGUAAACGUUGGGCACUAGGUAUGGGAUCAUAUCAACGGAUUCCGUGCCGUAGCUAACGCAUUAAGUGCCCCGCCUGGGGAGUACGG